This 684-nucleotide unclassified non-coding RNA is filed under the name Amphimedon queenslandica. Its description in RNAcentral is "eukaryotic translation initiation factor 3 subunit E- like, transcript variant X1". Lineage: Eukaryota; Metazoa; Porifera; Demospongiae; Haplosclerida; Niphatidae. The record is from RNAcentral.
GCGAGCCUGAUUCAGUGAUUGUCUCCCUUCUCUUGCUUCUCUUCUCAAAAUGGAAGGCUCUGAUGGCAGCACUGGGAGUAGUGGGUCAUCCUCAAAAUGUUCAUUGUCACCUCCUUUAGAGUCGAAAGACCUUCCUUGUACUAGACGAGCCAUGUUUCUCAAAAUACAAUGAGACAUAUUCUUACAAUGAUCCAAUCACUGAACUGAUUGACUGUCUCUUUGUUAAGUAUGACUUCAACGCAGCACAAGACAGACUAAACGAGUGUGAAAAGCUGUUGGCCUCUCCAGAUCUCCUUCCAAUUAAUUCUUUUCCAUCAUCAUCAUCAUCAGUACCUCCUGGUGGGGCAGUUGGUGACGGAGACUUUCUAGAAGAACCCUUAACAUCCUCGCUGCCUCCAGUUUCUAUUCCAAUACUUAGGUACCAGUAUCUCAGUCUCAGCCCACUGAUGUGCAUGAACCACGACUGAAAACAAACCCAGAAAAUGUUCUAUCUGAAAUAACAAGCAGAUUGAGACUUUGAAGUCACAAGUUCUAAUAAAAUAAGCUUUGAUCCACUUCUACUAACUGAAGUACAUGAACAACUUUUAUUGCACUGUACAUGGUCCAAUUGCAUUAACUACACAUGUGCAUGUAUUUCUUUUCUUUGAUUUGUGAUUAUGAAACAAUGUUCAUGAUUUAACAACU